This is a small nucleolar RNA of Phycodurus eques (leafy seadragon), 130 nucleotides long. NCBI's taxonomy places the organism in Eukaryota, Metazoa, Chordata, Actinopteri, Syngnathiformes, Syngnathidae. The record is from RefSeq and is a predicted model, not a curated record.
CCGCACCGCUAAGUGACUGGACUUCCUGCGUGGUGGUCUUCCAGUCUCAUUCCGGUGCCAGAUGAACCUCAGUUUGCAGAAGGGUUGAGCUAGACCACUGGCCCCCCCCUUUCGAAGGCCGAGAACAAGC